This 301-nucleotide ribosomal RNA is filed under the name uncultured bacterium. Its description in RNAcentral is "partial 16S ribosomal RNA". It matches the Rfam family "Bacterial small subunit ribosomal RNA", at positions 509 to 808 of the family's 1533-position model. The record is from RNAcentral.
CAGUCGCCGCGGGAAUACAGAGGGUGCGAGCGUUAAUCGGAUUUACUGGGCGUAAAGCGUGCGUAGGCGGCUUUUUAAGUCGGAUGUGAAAUCCCUGAGCUUAACUUAGGAAUUGCAUUCGAUACUGGGAAGCUAGAGUAUGGGAGAGGAUGGUAGAAUUCCAGGUGUAGCGGUGAAAUGCGUAGAGAUCUGGAGGAAUACCGAUGGCGAAGGCAGCCAUCUGGCCUAAUACUGACGCUGAGGUACGAAAGCAUGGGGAGCAAACAGGAUUAGAUACCCCGUGUAGUCCCUGUCUCUUAUA